Molecule: non-coding RNA, 1476 nt
Organism: Paramuricea clavata
Lineage: Eukaryota; Metazoa; Cnidaria; Anthozoa; Malacalcyonacea; Plexauridae
Source: the annotation of a GenBank genome assembly
UUUCAUCAAGAAUGACGCAUUUUUAAUUACUAAAACCUAAUUAAUGAUUAUAUCACAGCAUGAUUAGCUAUGGUAGCUGAAAAAUAAAUCAAACUACAGAAUUAUAUAUUGUAUAAACUAGACUAUACAUUAUCAAAAUCAAUAUAUUCGCUUGAUUGUAUGACGAGCAAAGUUCGUCGUACUUAGUCGCAUAAGAACGGUUAGCGCUUGACAUUCUCACUUGAAGGAACAUUUAAAAUUACGUGGAAAAGGUUUUCAUGAGCUGUCCCCAUCUUGUAUUAUUGUGGAUUAAAGGAAUACCAAACGGUUUUCCGUGCAGGAUAGCACCAUGACCAGUACUAAACCCACCGUUAAUGAGAUCAAAAUGGAGAACUUCUCAUUGUUUUCAGUCAAAAUAUUUCCAAAACAAAGUCGGUAGAGAAGUUUUAUGGACGGGCCUAAGAAGAUGCUUUCUUUCUAUUUAAACAGCAACUCGUAAGCUUUGUGAUAUUUCUCGAAUACCUCAAAAGCUGUCAACUGCUGUUUAAACUGCCUACGUUUUUUCGAUACGAAAAGGCGCUGAAUUAUAAAAUUGACUUCAAACGCCGUAUAUUUUUUGACCACGUCCAACGAAAACAGUUGCCAAACUCAUGGUAUUUUUUUGAACGACCAGUUUCGACACUGGCUUAGUAUGUAAUUUUGAAAGUUCUAUCAAAUGAAACUUAAUUUUACUGCUAUAUCCCUUUAAUUAAAGGCGUUUUGUUUAAGGACACUUACAAACUAUAUCUCAAGCUCCACUUUCAUCAGUUUACUACAAAAUAUCCUAAAGAAAAAACAUGCAAAGCGAACAAAAUAUACAGAAAUACAAAAGAAUAGAAUCUCACACUUCGCGCGCUUGAAGGCAUCGCCACCCCCUUGCUACGAAAAACAUCCUCUCCCCCCGGCUCACACGAACGUAGCCAAAUUAGAGUCUUCUUCGUCAUCGUCGUCAAGGUCAUCCAAAGGAACUUUCUUCUCGUCGGAGUAGUGCGUACUGACUUCGUGCUUCUCAUCGUCACUGUCCGUAACAUCUUCGUCAUCGUCGAAGUCACCCGAAUGUCGGCUAGCGCUGCCGACCACGGAGUGGUAUGCUGGUGGCGGUUCGCUACGGCUCGUCACAACAGACCUAGAACUAAAUGGUUUGAAAAAAAACAAAACGUUUAGGGCAUGCUUCCCAAGUUAUAGCCACUUAGGGAGCGGUCAUUAGAGACCUUCCGAUUUUAGGACGACAACGCGACGGCGAAAACAAUCUCCUUCAAAUAAAUGGUAGUAAAGAUAGUUCGUGGUAUAUUAUCAAUCGUAUGAAUUUAAUACAGUUUUAGAAGUUGAAAAUAUGGGUUUUAUUGUUGGAAAGAGUUCUGCUGAACCCAGUUUGAAGUUGCACUUGUUGCGGCUUGAAAUGCAGCCGUUGUAUCAAGACGUGAAAAUCUGUGAUUUGGCGUUGUAAACAGAGCGAGG